GUAUUGCCCAGAAGGUAACUCAAGCCCAGCCACCAAUGUCAGUGCAGGAGAUGGAGACUACAAUCCUGCACUGCACCUAUGACACCAGCGAUACAAAUUAUGGUCUCUUUUGGUACAAGCAGCCUGGCAGUGGGGAGAUGGUCUUCCUCAUUCGCCAAGAGUCUUACAGCCAGCAAAAUGCAACAGAAGGUCGCUACUCCUUGAAUUUCCAGAAAGCAAGCAAAUCCAUCCAGCUUGUCAUCUCAGCUUCACAACUGGAGGACUCAGCGGUAUAUUUCUGUGCACUGAGGGAGGCCACAGUAAAAGGAUUGUUGACGGGAGGUGUACAAAAACCCCAGGGUCUGCCUGAGACAGACAUCUGCGUUAGGGACCAAGGCAGAAAGUCACCAUCUCCCACAGGAAACAGCUAAGGCUGAGACAGCACAGGUGCAGUGUU
Molecule: non-coding RNA, 436 nt
Organism: Heterocephalus glaber (naked mole-rat)
Lineage: Eukaryota; Metazoa; Chordata; Mammalia; Rodentia; Bathyergidae
Source: the annotation of a RefSeq genome assembly